RNAcentral lists this ribosomal RNA (465 nucleotides) under uncultured bacterium. Its description in RNAcentral is "partial 16S ribosomal RNA". It matches the Rfam family "Bacterial small subunit ribosomal RNA", at positions 28 to 507 of the family's 1533-position model. The record is from RNAcentral.
GAUGAACGCUGGCGGCGUGCUUAACACAUGCAAGUCGAACGGAAAGGCUCCUGCUUGCAGGGGUACUCGAGUGGCGAACGGGUGAGUAACACGUGGGUGAUCUGCCCUGCACUUCGGGAUAAGCCUGGGAAACUGGGUCUAAUACCGGAUAGGACGAUGGUUUGGAUGCCAUUGUGGAAAGUUUUUCGGUGUGGGAUGAGCUCGCGGCCUAUCAGCUUGUUGGUGGGGUAAUGGCCUACCAAGGCGUCGACGGGUAGCCGGCCUGAGAGGGUGUACGGCCACAUUGGGACUGAGAUACGGCCCAGACUCCUACGGGAGGCAGCAGUGGGGAAUAUUGCACAAUGGGCGCAAGCCUGAUGCAGCGACGCCGCGUGGGGGAUGACGGCCUUCGGGUUGUAAACUCCUUUCGCUAGGGACGAGGCGCAAGUGACGGUACCUGGAGAAGAAGCACCGGCUAACUACGUG